This 497-nucleotide ribosomal RNA is filed under the name uncultured bacterium. RNAcentral's name for it is "partial 16S ribosomal RNA". It matches the Rfam family "Bacterial small subunit ribosomal RNA", at positions 28 to 507 of the family's 1533-position model. The record is from RNAcentral.
GAUGAACGCUGGCGGCAUGCCUAAUACAUGCAAGUCGAGCGAACGGACGAGAAGCUUUCUUCUCUGAUGUUAGCGGCGGACGGGUGGGUAACACAUACAUAACCUACUUCUAAGACUUGGAUAACUUCGGGAAACCGUAUCUAAUACCGGAUAAUAUUUUGAACCGCAUGAUUCAUAAGUGAUAGACGUCCUUGCUGUCACUAUUAGAUGCAUCCGCGCUGCAUUAGCUAGUUGGUAAGGUAACGGCUUACCAAGGCAACGAUGCAUAGCCGACCUGAGAGGGUGAUCGGCCACACUGGAACUGAGACACGGUCCAGACUCCUACGGGAGGCAGCAGUAGGGAAUCUUCCACAAUGGGCGAAAGCCUGACGGAGCAACGCCGCGUGAGUGAAGAAGGUCUUCGGAUCGUAAAACUCUGUUAUUAGGGAAGAAAAUAUGUGUAAGAAAAUGUGCACAUCUUGACGGUACCUAAACAAAAAGCAACGGCUAACUACGUG